RNAcentral lists this ribosomal RNA (445 nucleotides) under uncultured bacterium. RNAcentral describes it as "partial 16S ribosomal RNA". It matches the Rfam family "Bacterial small subunit ribosomal RNA", at positions 354 to 796 of the family's 1533-position model. The record is from RNAcentral.
GUAGGGAAUAUUGGGCAAUGGAGGCAACUCUGACCCAGCCAUGCCGCGUGCAGGAUGACGGCCCUCUGGGUUGUAAACUGCUUUUAUACGGGAAGAAAAAAUACUACGUGUAGUAUACUGACGGUACCGUAAGAAUAAGGAUCGGCUAACUCCGUGCCAGCAGCCGCGGUAAUACGGAGGAUCCAAGCGUUGUCCGGAUUUAUUGGGUUUAAAGGGUGCGUAGGCGGAUCUUUAAGUCAGUGGUGAAAUCCUGCAGCUUAACUGUAGAAUUGCCAUUGAAACUGAAGAUCUUGAAUGUGGUUAAAGUAGGCGGAAUGUAUCAUGUAGCGGUGAAAUGCUUAGAUAUGAUACAGAACACCGAUAGCGAAGGCAGCUUGCUGAACCAUUAUUGACGCUGAGGCACGAAAGCGUGGGGAGCGAACAGGAUUAGAUACCCCUGUAGUCC